RNAcentral lists this ribosomal RNA (447 nucleotides) under uncultured bacterium. Its description in RNAcentral is "bacterial SSU rRNA". It matches the Rfam family "Bacterial small subunit ribosomal RNA", at positions 355 to 825 of the family's 1533-position model. The record is from RNAcentral.
UGGGGAAUUUUGGACAAUGGGCGAAAGCCUGACCCAGCAACGCCGCGUGAAGGAUGAAGUAUUUCGGUAUGUAAACUUCGUAAGAAUAGGAAGAAUAAAUGACGGUACUAUUUGUAAGGUCCGGCUAACUACGUGCCAGCAGCCGCGGUAAUACGUAGGGACCAAGCGUUGUUCGGAUUUACUGGGCGUAAAGGGUGCGUAGGCGGUGGCGUAAGUCGAGUGUGAAAUCUUCCGGCCUAACCGGAAAACUGCACUCGAUACUGCGUCACUAGAGGACUGUAGAGGAGACUGGAAUUCACGGUGUAGCAGUGAAAUGCGUAGAUAUCGUGAGGAAGACCGGUGGCGAAAGCGAGUCUCUGGGCAGUUCCUGACGCUGAGGCACGAAGGCUAGGGGAGCAAACGGGAUUAGAUACCCCUCUAGUCCCUGAGCGGGCUGGCAAGGCGCAU